AGAGUUUGAUUAUGGCUCAGGAUGAACGCUGGCGGCGUGCUUAAUACAUGCAAGUCGAACGGAGUUUAAAUGAAACCUAGUGAUUUAAACUAGUGGCGGACGGGUGAGUAACGCGUGGGUAACCUGCCCUGUACAGGGGGAUAACGGCUGGAAACGGCCGCUAAAACCGCAUAACAUCGGAAUACCGCAUGAUGUUCCGGUCAAAUAUUUAUAGGUACAGGAUGGGCCCGCGUCUGAUUAGCUAGAUGGUGAGGUAACGGCCCACCAUGGCGACGAUCAGUAGCCGUACUGAGAGGUAGAACGGCCACAUUGGGACUGAGACACGGCCCAAACUCCUACGGGAGGCAGCAGUAGGGAAUAUUGGUCAAUGGGGGAAACCCUGAAACCCAGCGACGCCGCGUGAGUGAAGAAGUAUUUCGGUAUGUAAAGCUCUAUCAGCAGGGACGAUAAUGACGGUACCUGACUAAGAAGCCCCGGCUAACUACGUGCCAGCCGCCGC
RNAcentral lists this ribosomal RNA (499 nucleotides) under uncultured bacterium. RNAcentral describes it as "bacterial SSU rRNA". It matches the Rfam family "Bacterial small subunit ribosomal RNA", at positions 8 to 518 of the family's 1533-position model. The record is from RNAcentral.